AAUAAUAUUUCGUGACUCUAAGAUAUGACGUCACCGUGCGGCGACCGAUCGCUAGUUAUCAAUACUGCACGCAACUGCACGAAUGGAUAAAUUUGUAAUUCGCAAGGUUAAAAAUGUUGAGGAAAUUGUGGACAGUCUGCCUGAAUCAUCAUCAGUGGAUGUACUGCUUCCGUUUGGCUCUACUUAUUUGUGCGAGCAGACCUUUUCCGCUGUUACAUACAAAUACAUACAAAAAUAAAUACAGAUCACGUCUUGAUGUUGAGGAUGAUCUGCGAGGAGCCGUAUCCAACAUCAGGCCACAGAUUACGCUUUUGUGCACCGAAAAACAAGUGCACCCAUCCCACUGAAAGCUCAAACCUGUGACGUUGAGGUACACAAGAUGGCCUUUCGCUGCAGUCCCACUGUUGAGACAUUUGGCAUCACACUGUGAUUACAUAAUGGUUUGGAUCUGUGAUGAGCUUGGGCUCAGUUUCAGGCGCAGCUUCCCCCUCAGCGGGCUUUAUGUACCACCAAUUGUUCACAAUGUCACAAUUCUGUAUCUCAUACUGCACCAAACACUUAAGAGACAAAAAAUGGCCUUCAGUCUUCGUCACCGGUUCACAUGCAGCGCUGGUGCAUCAUUUUAGACAGGCAAUCACAGAUCACGUGGCUAGUGAAAAAAGAGGUAGCAAAGCACUGUUGAAAGUUAAAAGUUGGUAAUUUUACGGAACAAAAACUUUAAAUUGUGUUCGUUUGCC
Long non-coding RNA from Megalobrama amblycephala (Wuchang bream), 737 nucleotides. RefSeq lists it as uncharacterized. The record is from RefSeq and is a predicted model, not a curated record. Lineage: Eukaryota; Metazoa; Chordata; Actinopteri; Cypriniformes; Xenocyprididae. The transcript has 4 exons.